RNAcentral lists this ribosomal RNA (744 nucleotides) under uncultured eukaryote. Its description in RNAcentral is "bacterial SSU rRNA". It matches the Rfam family "Eukaryotic small subunit ribosomal RNA", at positions 675 to 1402 of the family's 1831-position model. The record is from RNAcentral.
GUUGUUCACUUCUGUUAUUCAGUUAAUGGAAGAUAAACAGUGUAUAUAGCGAUAUGUGCAUUGGGACUCCGUCUCAUUUACUUUGAAAAAAUUAGAGUGUUCAAAGCAGACAGUAAGUGUCAUUGAAUAGAUUAGCAUGGGAUAAUAGAAUAGGAUCGUGCUCUUAUUUUGUUGGUUUCUAAGAGUGCGGUAAUGAUUAAUAGGGAUAGUCGGGGAGGUCUGUACUCAAUUGUCAGAGGUGAAAUUCUCGGAUUUAUGGAAGACACACAUAGGCGAAAGCAUUCCUCAAGGAUGUUUUCAUUAAUCAAGAACGAAAGUGUGGGGAUCGAAGACGAUCAGAUACCGUCGUAGUCCACACCAUAAACUAUGCCGACCAGAAAUCGAGAGACGUUAACAUUAAUCUGGAUGACUCUCCCGGCGUCUUGUAAGAAAUUAUAAGUGUUUGGGUCCUGGGGGGAGUAUGGUCGCAAGGCUGAAACUUAAAGGAAUUGACGGAAGGGCACCACCAGGGGGUGGAGCCUGCGGCUUAAUUUGACUCAACACGGGAAAACUCACCAGGUCCGGACAUAGGAAGGAUUGACAGAUUUAUAGCUCUUUCUUGAUUCUAUGGGUGGUGGUGCAUGGGCCGUUCUUAGUUGGUGGAGUGAUUUGUCUGGUUAAUUCCGAUAACGAACGAGACCUCUUCCUGCUCAAUAGUCAUGUUAACCCUGCUAUCCAAAACAAUGGUAGAAGCGUGGUUUUCUA